This 469-nucleotide ribosomal RNA is filed under the name uncultured bacterium. Its description in RNAcentral is "bacterial SSU rRNA". It matches the Rfam family "Bacterial small subunit ribosomal RNA", at positions 27 to 518 of the family's 1533-position model. The record is from RNAcentral.
GGACGAACGCUGGCGGCGUGCUUAACACAUGCAAGUUGAACGGUAUGACAUGGAAGCUUGCUGAAGUGUCAUAUAGUAGCGGACGGGUGAGUAAUGCAUGAGAAGCUGCCAUUGGAGGGGGACGAACAGUUGGAACGGCUGCUAAUACCCGAUUUGCCGGAAGGUGAAAGGGAGCGAUCCGCCCGAUGAGGUGCUCAUGUCCUAUCAGCUGGUUGGUGGGGUAACGGGCCUACCAAGGCGACGACGGGUAGCCGGCCUGAGAGGGUGAACGGCCACACUGGAACUGAGAUACGGUCCAGACUCCUACGGGAGGCAGCAGUGGGGAAUAUUGGGCAAAUGGGGGCAACCCUGACCCAGCGACGCCGCGUGAGGGAAGACGGCCUUCGGGUUGUAAACCUCUUUUGUACGGGAAGAAGGAAGUGACGGUACUGUACGAAUAAGUCCCGGCUAACUACGUGCCAGCCGCCGC